This 440-nucleotide ribosomal RNA is filed under the name uncultured Anaerolineae bacterium. Its description in RNAcentral is "partial 16S ribosomal RNA". It matches the Rfam family "Bacterial small subunit ribosomal RNA", at positions 338 to 794 of the family's 1533-position model. The record is from RNAcentral. Lineage: Bacteria; Bacillati; Chloroflexota; Anaerolineae.
CCUACGGGAGGCAGCAGUGAGGAAUAUUGCGCAAUGGACGAAAGUCUGACGCAGCAACGCCGCGUGGGCGAAGAAGGCCUUCGGGUUGUAAAGCCCUUUUCUGAGGGAAGAGUAAGGACGGUACCUCAGGAAUAAGUCUCGGCUAACUACGUGCCAGCAGCCGCGGUAAAACGUAGGAGGCAAGCGUUAUCCGGAUUUAUUGGGCGUAAAGCGCAUGCAGGUGGUUUCGUAAGUCGGAUGUGAAAGCCUCUGGCUUAACUGGAGGAGGUCGUUCGAUACUGCGGAACUAGAGGUCGGAAGAGGGAAGCGGAAUUCCCGGUGUAGGGGUGGAAUGCGUAGAUAUCGGGAGGAACACCAGUGGCGAAGGCGGCUUCCUGGUCCGUACCUGACGCUAAGAUGCGAAAGCGUGGGGAGCGAACGGGAUUAGAUACCCCUGUAGU